AGUGAACGCUGGCGGUAGGCCUAACACAUGCAAGUCGAACGGCAGCACAGUAAGAGCUUGCUCUUACGGGUGGCGAGUGGCGGACGGGUGAGGAAUACAUCGGAAUCUACUUUUUCGUGGGGGAUAACGUAGGGAAACUGACGCUAAUACCGCAUACGACCUACGGGUGAAAGCAGGGGAUCUUCGGACCUUGCGCGAUUGAAUGAGCCGAUGUCGGAUUAGCUAGUUGGCGGGGUAAAGGCCCACCAAUGCGACGAUCCGUAGCUGGUCUGAGAGGAUGAUCAGCCACACUGGAACUGAGACACGGUCCAGACUCCUACGGGAGGCAGCAGUGGGGAAUAUUGGACAAUGGGCGCAAGCCUGAUCCAGCCAUACCGCGUGGGUGAAGAAGGCCUUCGGGUUGUAAAGCCCUUUUGUUGGGAAAGAAAAGCAGCAGGUUAAUCCCCCGCUGUUCUGACGGUACCCAAAGAAUAAGCACCGGCUAACUUCGUG
This 492-nucleotide ribosomal RNA is filed under the name uncultured bacterium. Its description in RNAcentral is "partial 16S ribosomal RNA". It matches the Rfam family "Bacterial small subunit ribosomal RNA", at positions 29 to 507 of the family's 1533-position model. The record is from RNAcentral.